Molecule: long non-coding RNA, 450 nt
Filed under: Rattus norvegicus (Norway rat)
Lineage: Eukaryota; Metazoa; Chordata; Mammalia; Rodentia; Muridae
Description: long non-coding RNA NONRATT008695
Source: RNAcentral
AGGCUCAUCCUUUCCAGAAAACACUUCGGACCUGGACGAAGUGGUCGGCUUCUCAGGCGACAUUUCCACAGCACCCUCCAGCUCGUAAACCCAUUGCACCAACAGCAGGCUGUUAGAGGAAGGGACUCUGCUGUCAUUGCAGCUGGGGAGGGCUGCUUUGGUCUUAAGGGUCUGGGAGAGAGUUAAAUCCUUAGGCUGUCUUUGUGCCUCAUUCCAGAGUUCUGUCGUGCUCAGCACUGUCCCCUGCCUAGGAAGAAAAGUCCGUCAGUCAGUCCCUCCCUCAGGCUGUUGUGUUGUGGGUGCUGAUCGCUGUCCCAACCACAGCAGAUCACAGCUCUCCUGGCAGGGACAGACCGAGGGCCGGAGAACCAGAGAAAUGGCAGGUGCCCAGACAGAGCAGGCUCAGCGGUGUGAGGUUUCCAGGAGGCAACUCUUUCCAGGGAGGGGAGA